This 497-nucleotide ribosomal RNA is filed under the name uncultured bacterium. RNAcentral's name for it is "partial 16S ribosomal RNA". It matches the Rfam family "Bacterial small subunit ribosomal RNA", at positions 28 to 507 of the family's 1533-position model. The record is from RNAcentral.
GAUGAACGCUGGCGGCGUGCCUAAUACAUGCAAGUCGAGCGAACAGACGAGGAGCUUGCUCCUCUGACGUUAGCGGCGGACGGGUGAGUAACACGUGGAUAACCUACCUAUAAGACUGGGAUAACUUCGGGAAACCGGAGCUAAUACCGGAUAAUAUAUUGAACCGCAUGGUUCAAUAGUGAAAGACGGUUUUGCUGUCACUUAUAGAUGGAUCCGCGCCGCAUUAGCUAGUUGGUAAGGUAACGGCUUACCAAGGCAACGAUGCGUAGCCGACCUGAGAGGGUGAUCGGCCACACUGGAACUGAGACACGGUCCAGACUCCUACGGGAGGCAGCAGUAGGGAAUCUUCCGCAAAGGGCGAAAGCCUGACGGAGCAACGCCGCGUGAGUGAUGGAGGUCUUCGGAUCGUAAAACUCUGUUAUUAGGGAAGAACAAAUGUGUAAGUAACUAUGCACGUCUUGACGGUACCUAAUCAGAAAGCCACGGCUAACUACGUG